UACGGAGGAUGCGAGCGUUAUCCGGAUUUAUUGGGUUUAAAGGGAGCGUAGGUGGAACAAUAAGUCAGCCUGUGAAAGUUUGCGGCUCAACCGUAAAAUUGCAGUUGAUACUGUUGUUCUUGAGUGUAGUAGAGGUUAGCGGAAUUCGUGGUGUAGCGGUGAAAUGCUUAGAUAUCACGAAGAACUCCAAUUGCGUAGGCAGCUAACUAGGCUAUAACUGACACUGAGGCUCGAAAGUGUGGGUAUCAAACAGG
Molecule: ribosomal RNA, 254 nt
Filed under: uncultured bacterium
Lineage: Bacteria
Description: partial 16S ribosomal RNA
Rfam family: Bacterial small subunit ribosomal RNA
Source: RNAcentral